Molecule: long non-coding RNA, 517 nt
Filed under: Homo sapiens (human)
Lineage: Eukaryota; Metazoa; Chordata; Mammalia; Primates; Hominidae
Description: HSALNT0104711
Source: RNAcentral
GUCUGAGCCAUCUUCCCCCUGCUCUUCCUCCUCCCUCAGCUCCGAGUCAUCGCGUCUCUCCACAGAGCCAUCCAGCGAGGCUCUUGGGGUAGGGGAGGUGCUCCAUGUGAAGACAGAGUCCUUGGCACCCCCACUGUGUCUCCUGGGAGAUGACCCAACAUCCUCAUUUGAAACCGUCCAGAUCAACGUUAUCCCCACCUCUGAUGAUUCCUCAGAUGUCCAGACCAAGAUAGAACCUGUCUCUCCAUGUUCUUCCGUCAACUCUGAGGCCUCCCUGCUCUCAGCCGACUCCUCCAGCCAGGCUUUUAUAGGAGAGGAGGUCCUGGAAGUGAAGACAGAGUCCCUGUCCCCUUCAGGAUGCCUCCUGUGGGAUGUCCCAGCCCCCUCACUUGGAGCUGUCCAGAUCAGCAUGGGCCCAUCCCUUGAUGGCUCCUCAGGCAAAGCCCUGCCCACCCGGAAGCCGCCACUGCAGCCCAAACCUGUAGUGCUAACCACUGUCCCAAUGCCAUCCAGAGCU